RNAcentral lists this ribosomal RNA (254 nucleotides) under uncultured bacterium. Its description in RNAcentral is "partial 16S ribosomal RNA". It matches the Rfam family "Bacterial small subunit ribosomal RNA", at positions 524 to 776 of the family's 1533-position model. The record is from RNAcentral.
UACAGAGGGUGCAAGCGUUGUUCGGAAUUAUUGGGCGUAAAGCGCGUGUAGGCGGUUUCGCAAGUCGGGUGUGAAAGCCCUCAGCUCAACUGAGGAAGUGCGCCCGAAACUGCGGAGCUUGAGUACCGGAGAGGAUGGCGGCAAUUCCCCAAGUAGAGGUGAAAUUCGUAGAUAUGGGGAGGAACACCGGUGGCGAAGGCGGCCAUCUGGACGGAUACUGACGCUGAGACGCGAAAGCGUGGGUAGCAAACAGG